CUUCAUUCUGCUGCCCCACCUCCCUACGCUGCCACACUGGGGGUCCCGUUUCAACAAGAGUUUUGCUGGGAACAGAUGCACUGACUACAUCCAGGUCGUGGAUGCAGAUGAGAUGGCAGGUGCCCCAGCAGCCCUCGCCAACCAUAAGGCAUGGAUUCCUCACCUUCGGCUCGGGGAGCACAGAGACUGAGGGCCGUGGACUCGGGGUGAGAUGGUGGCACCUCCAUCACAGACCCACAGUCUCUGUGUCCAGCCCUUCCGGAAAGAUGACAGAAAUGAAAAGUCUGCCUUAUGGAAGACAAGGCACCGACGCUUUCCCUGACAGCAUCAUCAUCACCCAACUAGGGCAGCUGACCCGCGUCUUCCUCACGACGUGGAAUGGUUUGAGUCAAGGGUUUUCAUGGCCAUGAGCCACGUGGAGGCUGUGCCUUUUGUUUCCUGUGAGAAAUCUUCAACCAGCGCCACUCUCAGCCUCCCCUCUGCCAGCGCUUCUGUGGCUGCACCUGCAUUCGUGGGCUGUGGCUGCGAAGCACAGGAAUAAUUGAUGGCUCUGGGGCACUUUGCUGGGCUGCUUCCAGAAAAGUUGACCCCUCCCUGCAAACCAGCACUGCCCAGCAUUCUUGUCCCGCCAAGCCUGACUGUGAGCUGUUGUGACGUUGCCACUUUGCUCGGAAAGGACCCCUUACCUUUUAUUUCCCUUGCAUUUCUUUCAAUUCUACCAUUGACCAUUUCUCAUACGUGUGGUCAUCAUUGUAUUUCGCCCCCAUUUUGUGAGGUUUAGUGUAUUCUUAAAGUUUCCUGGGUUUUGAUGAGAGCAUAUUCUGUCAUUAUAUUUAACAGGUGUUUUCCCCAGCUUGGAUGUGUUUGGCCAUUAGCUUCUUUUCUGCUAUUUUACACUAGUCUGUUAUUCUUCACUACAAAAGGACUCUGCCGAGGGUCCCCAUGCUCCCCAUGCUUCGGGGUGUGAGGUAGCAGGGGAAGGCAGGUGUCCUUCCUUCUUUGAAGUGCGGGUUGGGGCAGGACAGCAGACCCUGGGGUCACUGCUGAGGAGGGGAAGGAUGGGAUUAGGACUGUUCUCUUCCUGGCCUCAUGAGCUCCCCCAGCUCCUUCUGGUGGUUGGAGAAGAAACCUCCUGAUUGUCACGGAGAGUGAGUUUGUCCGUGGAGCUUUUCCUGCACGGCUCACAUAGAACGGGCUGUGAGGUCCCUCCACUGAGCAGCACGUGCCAGGCCGGGUGCCCACGACUGUUGGGAAAACCCAGGCCUGUAUUCCAGGAAGCAAAGGUCUUUAGAUGAAGGUUUUAAGAAUGAAAAUUAACCCACAGAAUGGUGAGGUCAGUUGGAGCCUGGAUUCCAUGGGGUAAGACAGCCACAGCCAGGUGGGCAUCCUGCUCCUUCCCUUUCCCCUGUCCCUGCCCACCGGCCAUGCCCUAGAGUAGGGGCACACUCGGACCCCAGCCCAGCGCCCACCCAUGCUGCCUGCAGGCCUGCGAGGUCCCACAACCCCUUGGCAUGCAGCGACAGCCCGGGGCCAGGUGUGGGUGAGGCUUGGGAUUUCCUGGCACAGCUGACUUCAUGUUGUGGCCUGGCAGCCUCGGGUGGUGUCGGCAGAUGCAGGAAGCCACGGGCGCAGCUCCCUGCCUGUCCCGGCCGUGGGUGCUAAUGCAGAGUGGGUUCUGUGGCUGGUCACACAGGCAGCCGGGUGGGUGCAGGUCAUCCCGGGGAUGGCCUUGCACUGUCUGAUCCCCGGGGAGGGGAGGGUCUUUUCGCUGACCACGCUGUUUGCUGCGUGCUUUUUGUUUGCCAAGGGCUGCAAUGUUUGUCGUCUGCCGCAGUGUUUGCUGCCGGGUGAAGAAUCGCUGGCCCUGUGUUGUCACCUGGGCCCACCGUGACAAGGUCCCCACCUCUGUUGUGGGACUCGGGGGCAAAGUUCCCUGCUGUUCACGCUGCAAGUGACAAGGGCCUUGGUCUCUGAACCAGGAGCCUCUGAGUCCUGCCCCACAGGGCUGAGCCCUGGCUGGGAGCAAUGUUCUUUGGGGGAGACAGCAGCUUCCUCACUUCCAUGUACAGCCAGAUGCCACGGGAUGUGGGGAGUGCGACAGGGCCGUGGGGAGUGUGACAAGGCCUUGGGGAGUGUGACAGGGCUGUGGGGAGUGUGACAGGGCCUUGGGGAGUUUGACAGGGCCGUGGGGAGUGUGACAGAGCCGUG
This 2208-nucleotide long non-coding RNA is filed under the name Homo sapiens (human). RNAcentral describes it as "PREDICTED lncRNA (TCONS_00035082)". Lineage: Eukaryota; Metazoa; Chordata; Mammalia; Primates; Hominidae. The record is from RNAcentral.